GAUGAACGCUGGCGGCGUGCCUAAUACAUGCAAGUCGAGCGAACAGAUGAGGAGCUUGCUCCUCUGACGUUAGCGGCGGACGGGUGAGUAACACGUGGAUAACCUACCUAUAAGACUGGGAUAACUUCGGGAAACCGGAUCUAAUACCGGAUAAUAUAUUGAACCGCAUGGUUCAAUAGUGAAAGACGGUUUUGCUGUCACUUCUAGAUGGAUCCGCGCCGCAUUAGCUAGUUGGUAAGGUAACGGCUUACCAAGGCAACGAUGCGUAGCCGACCUGAGAGGGUGAUAGGCCACACGGGAACUGAGACACGGUCCAGACUCCUACGGGAGGCAGCAGUAGGGAAUCUUCCGCAAUGGGCGAAAGCCUGACGGAGCAACGCCGCGUGAGUGAUGAAGGUCUUCGGAUCGUAAAAAUCUGUUAUUAGGGAAGAACAAAUGUGUAAGUAACUAUGCACGUCUUGACGGUACCUAAUCAGAAAGCCACGGCUAACUACGUG
RNAcentral lists this ribosomal RNA (497 nucleotides) under uncultured bacterium. RNAcentral's name for it is "partial 16S ribosomal RNA". It matches the Rfam family "Bacterial small subunit ribosomal RNA", at positions 28 to 507 of the family's 1533-position model. The record is from RNAcentral.